GCAAUCCGGUGAAGGGUGAGUUCGCGUCCGAUUAGAUAGUUGGUGAGGUAACGGCCCACCAAGUCGACGAUCGGUAGCCGACCUGAGAGGGUGAUCGGCCACAUUGGGACUGAGACACGGCCCAAACUCCUACGGGAGGCAGCAGUGGGGAAUAUUGGGCAAUGGGGGAAACCCUGACCCAGCAACGCCGCGUGAGGGAAGAAGGUUUUCGGAUCGUAAACCUCUGUCCUAGGUGAAGAGGAAGAGACGGUAGCCUAGGAGGAAGCCCCGGCUAACUACGUGCCAGCAGCCGCGGUAAUACGUAGGGGGCGAGCGUUGUCCGGAAUGAUUGGGCGUAAAGGGCGCGUAGGCGGCCCGGUAAGUCUGGAGUGAAAGUCCUGCUUUUAAGGUGGGAAUUGCUUUGGAUACUGUCGGGCUUGAGUGCAGGAGAGGUAAGUGGAAUUCCCAGUGUAGCGGUGAAAUGCGUAGAGAUUGGGAGGAACACCAGUGGCGAAGGCGACUUACUGGACUGUAACUGACGCUGAGGCGCGAAAGUGUGGGGAGCAAACAGGAUUAGAUUCCCUGGUAGUCCACACUGUAAACGAUGAAUGCUAGGUGUAGGGGGUAUCGACCCCUUCUGUGCCGCAGUAAACACAAUAAGCAUUCCCGCCUGGGGAGUACGGCCGCAAGGUUGAAACUCAAAGGAAUUUGACGGGGGCCC
This 700-nucleotide ribosomal RNA is filed under the name uncultured rumen bacterium. RNAcentral's name for it is "bacterial SSU rRNA". It matches the Rfam family "Bacterial small subunit ribosomal RNA", at positions 210 to 922 of the family's 1533-position model. The record is from RNAcentral.